GGGUUGUGAGGUUAAGCGACUAAGCGUACACGGUGGAUGCCCUGGCAGUCAGAGGCGAUGAAGGGCGUGCUAAUCUGCGAUAAGCGCCGGUAAGGUGAUAUGAACCGUUAUAACCGGCGAUACCCGAAUGGGGAAACCCAGUGUGAUUCGUCACACUAUCAUUAACUGAAUCCAUAGGUUAAUGAGGCGAACCGGGGGAACUGAAACAUCUAAGUACCCCGAGGAAAAGAAAUCAACCGAGAUUCCCCCAGUAGCGGCGAGCGAACGGGGAGGAGCCCAGAGCCUGAAUCAGCAUGUGUGUUAGUGGAAGCGUCUGGAAAGGCGCGCGAUACAGGGUGACAGCCCCGUACACAAAAGCGCAUGUGCUGUGAGCUCGAUGAGUAGGGCGGGACACGUGGUAUCCUGUCUGAAUAUGGGGGGACCAUCCUCCAAGGCUAAAUACUCCUGACUGACCGAUAGUGAACCAGUACCGUGAGGGAAAGGCGAAAAGAACCCCGGCGAGGGGAGUGAAAAAGAACCUGAAACCGUGUACGUACAAGCAGUGGGAGCCCCACCACUAAGCCAGUGGUGAACUCCACAUACGCAUCCUUUGCUGAGGAUACGGUUAGCGGAGCGAAAGCGACGUUCAACCGCAAAACAAGCAGAGGGGGCUUAGUGGUGGGGUGACUGCGUACCUUUUGUAUAAUGGGUCAGCGACUUAUAUUCUGUAGCAAGGUUAACCGAAUAGGGGAGCCGUAGGGAAACCGAGUCUUAACCGGGCGUUAAGUUGCAGGGUAUAGACCCGAAACCCGGUGAUCUAGCCAUGGGCAGGUUGAAGGUUGGGUAACACUAACUGGAGGACCGAACCGACUAAUGUUGAAAAAUUAGCGGAUGACCUGUGGCUGGGGGUGAAAGGCCAAUCAAACCGGGAGAUAGCUGGUUCUCCCCGAAAGCUAUUUAGGUAGCGCCUCGUGAAUUCAUCUCCGGGGGUAGAGCACUGUUUCGGCUAGGGGGCCAUCCCGGCUUACCAACCCGAUGCAAACUGCGAAUACCGGAGAAUGUUAUCACGGGAGACACACGGCGGGUGCUAACGUCCGUCGUGAAGAGGGAAACAACCCAGACCGCCAGCUAAGGUCCCAAAGUCAUGGUUAAGUGGGAAACGAUGUGGGAAGGCCCAGACAGCCAGGAUGUUGGCUUAGAAGCAGCCAUCAUUUAAAGAAAGCGUAAUAGCUCACUGGUCGAGUCGGCCUGCGCGGAAGAUGUAACGGGGCUAAACCAUGCACCGAAGCUGCGGCAGCGAACGUAUCACUUAAAGCGAUUCAGCGGGUUACGAUUGACGGAGCGAAGCGACGUCAAAGCGUAUACAAAGUCGAGUCGGUUUAAGGAUACGUUCGUUGGGUAGGGGAGCGUUCUGUAAGCCUGCGAAGGUGGCCUGUGAGGGUUGCUGGAGGUAUAAGAAGUGCGAAUGCUGACAUAAGUAACGAUAAAGCGGGUGAAAAGCCCGCUCGCCGGAAGACCAAGGGUUCCUGUCCAACGUUAAUCGGGGCAGGGUGAGUCGACCCCUAAGGCGAGGCCGAAAGGCGUAGUCGAUGGGAAACGGGUUAAUAUUCCCGUACUUGGUGUUACUGCGAAGGGGGGACGGAGAAGGCUAUGUUGGCCGGGCGACGGUUGUCCCGGUUUAAGCGUGUAGGUGUGUGUUCCAGGUAAAUCCGGUUCACUUUAACACUGAGGCGUGACGACGAGGCACUACGGUGCUGAAGCAACAAAUGCCCUGCUUCCAGGAAAAGCCUCUAAGCAUCAGGUAACAUCAAAUCGUACCCCAAACCGACACAGGUGGUCAGGUAGAGAAUACCAAGGCGCUUGAGAGAACUCGGGUGAAGGAACUAGGCAAAAUGGUGCCGUAACUUCGGGAGAAGGCACGCUGAUAUGUAGGUGAAGCGGUUUACCCGUGGAGCUGAAAUCAGUCGAAGAUACCAGCUGGCUGCAACUGUUUAUUAAAAACACAGCACUGUGCAAACACGAAAGUGGACGUAUACGGUGUGACGCCUGCCCGGUGCCGGAAGGUUAAUUGAUGGGGUCAGCGCAAGCGAAGCUCCUGAUCGAAGCCCCGGUAAACGGCGGCCGUAACUAUAACGGUCCUAAGGUAGCGAAAUUCCUUGUCGGGUAAGUUCCGACCUGCACGAAUGGCGUAAUGAUGGCCAGGCUGUCUCCACCCGAGACUCAGUGAAAUUGAACUCGCUGUGAAGAUGCAGUGUACCCGCGGCAAGACGGAAAGACCCCGUGAACCUUUACUAUAGCUUGACACUGAACAUUGAGCCUUGAUGUGUAGGAUAGGUGGGAGGCUUUGAAGCGUGGACGCCAGUCUGCGUGGAGCCGACCUUGAAAUACCACCCUUUAAUGUUUGAUGUUCUAACGUGGACCCGUGAUCCGGGUUGCGGACAGUGUCUGGUGGGUAGUUUGACUGGGGCGGUCUCCUCCUAAAGAGUAACGGAGGAGCACGAAGGUUGGCUAAUCCUGGUCGGACAUCAGGAGGUUAGUGCAAUGGCAUAAGCCAGCUUGACUGCGAGCGUGACGGCGCGAGCAGGUGCGAAAGCAGGUCAUAGUGAUCCGGUGGUUCUGAAUGGAAGGGCCAUCGCUCAACGGAUAAAAGGUACUCCGGGGAUAACAGGCUGAUACCGCCCAAGAGUUCAUAUCGACGGCGGUGUUUGGCACCUCGAUGUCGGCUCAUCACAUCCUGGGGCUGAAGUAGGUCCCAAGGGUAUGGCUGUUCGCCAUUUAAAGUGGUACGCGAGCUGGGUUUAGAACGUCGUGAGACAGUUCGGUCCCUAUCUGCCGUGGGCGCUGGAGAACUGAGGGGGGCUGCUCCUAGUACGAGAGGACCGGAGUGGACGCAUCACUGGUGUUCGGGUUGUCAUGCCAAUGGCACUGCCCGGUAGCUAAAUGCGGAAGAGAUAAGUGCUGAAAGCAUCUAAGCACGAAACUUGCCCCGAGAUGAGUUCUCCCUGAGACUUAGAGUCUCCUGAAGGAACGUUGAAGACGACGACGUUGAUAGGCCGGGUGUGUAAGCGCAGCGAUGCGUUGAGCUAACCGGUACUAAUGAACCGUGAGGCUUAACCUUACAACGCCGAAG
This 3109-nucleotide ribosomal RNA is filed under the name Salmonella enterica subsp. enterica serovar Anatum. RNAcentral's name for it is "23S ribosomal RNA". It matches the Rfam family "Bacterial large subunit ribosomal RNA". The record is from RNAcentral. Lineage: Bacteria; Pseudomonadati; Pseudomonadota; Gammaproteobacteria; Enterobacterales; Enterobacteriaceae.